Molecule: ribosomal RNA, 86 nt
Filed under: uncultured bacterium
Lineage: Bacteria
Description: partial 16S ribosomal RNA
Source: RNAcentral
UGAGGAACAUGACCUUCGGCGGGGGAUAGCAGGCCCAACUGCCGGGUAAUACCGCGUACGACCUUUCGGGGACAUCCCUGGAUGGU